AUAAAGGCGCUAUUGUAUAUAACCAUAAGAUAACAGUUUAAAAAAACUUUAUCUAAUGUACAUGACCUACUAUGACGGGCGAUGAUACAUCGUUUCUAAGACUGUAUCGUAUCGUUAUAUAGCGUUUUUCGUCCGCUAAUAAAACCCAUUUUUCUUGUAGUGAUUUUCAUCAAUAAUUUAACUUUAGAGCACCAAGGACACGUGUACAAUUCUUAUAUGGGUCUCGAUGUUUCUGGAGUCGAAGUUUGAAGAACAUCACCAUCGGCUUCACCGGAGACCUGUCGGAAUGGGUAUCUUCAGAAAUAUCUUCGACUAGUUGAAUCUACUUGACCGAUUUUCCAAUCCCUGUUCGCCGUCAAUCCUGCUCGAAUCUUCAUCGAACUUGUUAGAUGUAAGCUUCAGUGAAUAGCUUCAGAGAGAAAAAAGCGAGGUCUUGCCAGAACAUUUCCGAUGAAGAAAACUCUAGCUAAUCUAAACCUGCAUCUUCUCUCUACGCUUAAUCAAACAUCUUAAUCUCCAUCCCGCAAAGGAUACUCCGCCAAAGUUUUAAACACGAAGAUUAAUACCUUAUCUGGGAAAGAAAUCAAGCAUGACUAACAAGAAGAUUGGAAUCUUGCAAAAUCAAUCGGAAUAUAGAUUUGUGAAGGAUAGAAAAAUUGGAUUUUGAGAAAAAACACAACAAAAAGUCGCCUAACGAAAUGAUAAUCGCCAAAGCGAAGAACAAAAUCGAUCCUAAGAUCAAAAAUAUACACAAACCAAAAAACAAAAGAAAAGUAGAUGGUAACCGGCGGCAAAGAGCCACCGGCCACCCACACACAUAAGGGGUGACUAAUAAGAGAAUUUAAGUAACGAGAGAGUAAAAUGUGAUAUACCAUACCAUUUAUAAAG
This 888-nucleotide long non-coding RNA is filed under the name Brassica napus (rape). RNAcentral's name for it is "long non-coding RNA (BNAP_LNC010440)". Lineage: Eukaryota; Viridiplantae; Streptophyta; Magnoliopsida; Brassicales; Brassicaceae. The record is from RNAcentral.